GUGGGGAAUAUUGGACAAUGGGCGAAAGCCUGAUCCAGCAAUGCCGCGUGAGUGAUGAAGGCCUUAGGGUUGUAAAGCUCUUUUACCCGGGAAGAUAAUGACUGUACCGGGAGAAUAAGCCCCGGCUAACUCCGUGCCAGCAGCCGCGGUAAUACGGAGGGGGCUAGCGUUGUUCGGAAUUACUGGGCGUAAAGCGCACGUAGGCGGUUUUGUAAGUUAGAGGUGAAAGCCUGGGGCUCAACCCCAGAAUUGCCUUUAAGACUGCAUCACUUGAACGUCGGAGAGGUGAGUGGAAUUCCGAGUGUAGAGGUGAAAUUCGUAGAUAUUCGGAAGAACACCAGUGGCGAAGGCGGCUCACUGGACGACUGUUGACGCUGAGGUGCGAAAGCGUGGGGAGCAAACAGGAUUAGAUACCCUUGUAGUCC
This 425-nucleotide ribosomal RNA is filed under the name uncultured bacterium. Its description in RNAcentral is "partial 16S ribosomal RNA". It matches the Rfam family "Bacterial small subunit ribosomal RNA", at positions 354 to 796 of the family's 1533-position model. The record is from RNAcentral.